CUCUCAGACCACCUUCUACACAGCUGGGAAGUCUCCAUCCUUGACUACCAGGCAUUCAGCUCUGUGAAUAAAAGCAUUCUGCUGAUUUCUGCUGCCCUGUAUCCAGACGGAAGGAAUGGAUCCAUGUUGCAGCUGGGAGCAUGGGGAAAUCUGGACACGCACUUCACCAAAAUGAGACAACUGUGGCAGGAGACAGGCUAAGAGGGAAAAUCUGGACACAGAGCUGUAUACAUCCAGGGAGAACGUCAUCUGGAGAUGAAAGCAGAGAUCAGAGUGAUGCAGCUCCAAGACAUGGAAUGCUGAAGAUGGUGAGCAACCCACCAGAAGCCAGGAGAGAGGUAUAAACGGUUUCUCCCUCACAGCCCUUAGAAGCCACCAACCCUGCUGAUGCCUUGAUCUCUGAUCCUCAAGGAUGUGGAGUAGCUGUGUGAGAGGCUGUCUGAGGGCUCUUCAGAAAGUUCAUAGGAAAUGCAUAUUAUGAAAAAACUAUGCUGGAUUUCAAAUUUUUUGCACCAAAAUUGAUUUGUACUACCUUUUUAUAACAUGUUCAUGCACAAUCUAGUUUGAGGCACUAAGAAGGAUAAUACAUCAGUUUGAAAAGAGCCUCUAUCAGAGCAAUGUGAAUUUCUGCUAAAAUUGAAGUAAGAACAAACAUCAAAUUUAUAGUGAAGCUUGAGGGGAAGUAUGGUGAACUCAUUGAUGCUUUGUGAAAAGCUUAUGGGGACAAUACCCCCUUCCCCCAAAUCAGCAGUUUACAAAUAGAUAACUUCUUUUAAGAAGGGAGAAGUUGAGGCUGGGCACAGUGGCUAACGCCUGUAAUCCCAACACUUUGGGAGGCUGGGGCAGGUGAAUCACUUGAGGUCGGGAAUUCAAGACCAGCCUGGUUAACAUGUGAAACCCCAUCUCUACUAAAAAUACAAAAAAAA
Molecule: long non-coding RNA, 926 nt
Filed under: Homo sapiens (human)
Lineage: Eukaryota; Metazoa; Chordata; Mammalia; Primates; Hominidae
Description: HSALNT0037822
Source: RNAcentral